RNAcentral lists this ribosomal RNA (319 nucleotides) under uncultured bacterium. RNAcentral describes it as "bacterial SSU rRNA". It matches the Rfam family "Bacterial small subunit ribosomal RNA", at positions 31 to 245 of the family's 1533-position model. The record is from RNAcentral.
AAAGAACGCUGGCGGCAUGCUUAACACAUGCAAGUCGAACGGAUAGUAGCAAUACUAUCAGUGGCAAACGGGUGAGUAAUACGUAGGAAUCUACCCUGUAGUACGGAACAACAGUUGGAAACGACUGCUAAUACCGCAUACGCUCCCCUUUAAACCCUAAGUAUUUGGAGAUUCUGGUUUAUUUUCGAGCGGUGAAGGCGCGGAAUGUACACUUGUACAUGAGCACCNGAAUCCGUGAAGAAAAUAAAUUAGAAUCUUCAAAGACGACGGGUGGGGAGGAAAGAUUUAUCGCUAUAGGAUGAGCCUGCGCUAAAUUAGA